AUACGUAGAUGGCAAGCGUUAUCCGGAAUGACUGGGCGUAAAGGGUGCGUAGGCGGUUGUUUAAGUCAGAUGUUAAAAUCCCGGGCUCAACCUGGGAACUGCAUUUGAUACUGGACGACUUGAGUGCAGGAGAGGAAGGGGGAAUUCCUAGUGUAGCGGUGAAAUGCGUAGAUAUUAGGAGGAACACCAGUGGCGAAGGCGACUUUCUGGACUGUAACUGACGCUGAGGCACGAAAGCGUGGGGAGCGAACAGGAUUAGAUACCCUGGUAGUCCACGCUGUAAACGAUGAAUGCUAGGUGUGGGGUGUCAAAGCUCUGUGCCGCAGUUAACACAAUAAGCAUUCCGCCUGGGGAGUACGGCCGCAAGGUUGA
This 372-nucleotide ribosomal RNA is filed under the name uncultured bacterium. RNAcentral's name for it is "bacterial SSU rRNA". It matches the Rfam family "Bacterial small subunit ribosomal RNA", at positions 523 to 897 of the family's 1533-position model. The record is from RNAcentral.